GACGAACGCUGGCGGCGUGCUUAACACAUGCAAGUCGAACGGAAAGGCCCUGCUUUUGUGGGGUGCUCGAGUGGCGAACGGGUGAGUAACACGUGAGUAACCUGCCCUUGACUUUGGGAUAACUUCAGGAAACUGGGGCUAAUACCGGAUAGGAGCUCCUGCUGCAUGGUGGGGGUUGGAAAGUUUCGGCUGUUGUGGAUGGACUCGCGGCUUAUCCGCUUGUUGGUGGGGUAGUGGCUUACCAGGGCUUUGACGGGUAGCCGGCCUGAGAGGGUGACCGGCCACAUUGGUACUGAGAUACGGACCAGACUCCUACGGGACGCAGCAGUGGAGAAUAUUGCACAAUGGGCGGAAGCCUGAUGCAGCAACGCCGCGUGCGGGAUGACGGCCUUCGGGUUGUAAACCGCUUUCGCCUGUGACGAAGCGUGAGUGACGGUAAUGGGUAAAGAAGCACCGGCUAACUACGUG
Molecule: ribosomal RNA, 468 nt
Filed under: uncultured bacterium
Lineage: Bacteria
Description: partial 16S ribosomal RNA
Rfam family: Bacterial small subunit ribosomal RNA
Source: RNAcentral